AAGCAUAAACACGCCAACCAGAUGCCGAUAAACCGACAAAACCUCAGCCACUUAAUUCACAACUUAAUUCACAAGUGCACCCGUUAAGUAAAUUACCGGGGAAGGACGGAUUGCCUGUUUGACAGGUACAUGAAGUCAUGUAUAGGUGCUGUAUACUGGACGCUAACUGGACCUGGUUAGGUGUAAC
RNAcentral lists this unclassified non-coding RNA (187 nucleotides) under uncultured archaeon. RNAcentral's name for it is "16S-23S ribosomal RNA intergenic spacer". The record is from RNAcentral.